Molecule: ribosomal RNA, 817 nt
Filed under: marine sediment metagenome
Description: LSU rRNA
Rfam family: Bacterial large subunit ribosomal RNA
Source: RNAcentral
AACUAUUUAGGUAGUGCCUCAAGUAUUACCGUCGGGGGUAGAGCACUGUUAUGGCUAGGGGGUCAUGGCGACUUACCAAACCAUUGCAAACUCCGAAUACCGAUGAGUACAGCUUGGGAGACAGUGCACCGGGUGCUAACGUCCGGACACAAGAGGGAAACAACCCAGACCGCCAGCUAAGGUCCCUAAAAUUGGCUAAGUGGGAAACGAAGUGGGAAGGCUAAAACAGUCAGGAUGUUGGCUUAGAAGCAGCCAUCAUUUAAAGAAAGCGUAAUAGCUCACUGAUCGAGUCGUCCUGCGCGGAAGAUGUAACGGGGCUAAGCCAGUUACCGAAGCUGCGGAUUCACAGUUUACUGUGAGUGGUAGGAGAGCGUUCUGUAAGCCUGCGAAGGUGGCUUGUAAAGGCUGCUGGAGGUAUCAGAAGUGCGAAUGCUGACAUGAGUAGCGUUAAAGGGGGUGAAAAGCCCCCUCGCCGAAAGCGCAAGGUUUCCUACGCAACGUUCAUCGGCGUAGGGUGAGUCGGCCCCUAAGGCGAGGCAGAGAUGCGUAGCUGAUGGGAAACAGGUUAAUAUUCCUGUACCGAUCUAUGGUGCGAUGUGGGGACGGAGAAGGUUAGCUCAGCCAACUGUUGGAAUAGUUGGUUCAAGCAUGUAGGCGUGCUCUUUAGGCAAAUCCGGAGAGCUUAGCUGAGGUGUGAUAACGAGGCUGCUUGCAGCCGAAGUGAGUGAUACCCUGCUUCCAGGAAAAGCCACUAAGCUUCAGCCAUAGAUUGACCGUACCGCAAACCGACACUGGUGCGCGAGAUGAGUAUUCUAAG